UACGAAGGGGGCUAGCGUUGCUCGGAUUGACUGGGCGUAAAGGGCGCGUAGGCGGUUUGCAUAGUCAGACGUGAAAUUCCUGGGCUUAACCUGGGGGCUGCGUUUGAUACAUGCAGGCUUGAGUUCGGAAGAGGGUCGUGGAAUUCCCAGUGUAGAGGUGAAAUUCGUAGAUAUUGGGAAGAACACCGGUGGCGAAGGCGGCGACCUGGUCCGAUACUGACGUGAGGCGCGAAAGCGUGGGGAGCAAACAGG
Molecule: ribosomal RNA, 252 nt
Filed under: uncultured bacterium
Lineage: Bacteria
Description: partial 16S ribosomal RNA
Rfam family: Bacterial small subunit ribosomal RNA
Source: RNAcentral